UUGACGGAAGGGCACCACCAG
RNAcentral lists this non-coding RNA (21 nucleotides) under Arabidopsis thaliana (thale cress). The record is from RNAcentral. RNAcentral also lists the same sequence under 1 other name. Lineage: Eukaryota; Viridiplantae; Streptophyta; Magnoliopsida; Brassicales; Brassicaceae.